UGGGAUGUGGCUCAAGUGGUAGCGCUUGCCUGGCAUGCAUGAGGCACUGGGUUCGAUCCUCAGCACCACAU
Non-coding RNA from Ictidomys tridecemlineatus (thirteen-lined ground squirrel), 71 nucleotides. NCBI's taxonomy places the organism in Eukaryota, Metazoa, Chordata, Mammalia, Rodentia, Sciuridae. The record is from Rfam.